ACACUGAAUAUGUUGGAGUUGGGU
RNAcentral lists this non-coding RNA (24 nucleotides) under Arabidopsis thaliana (thale cress). The record is from RNAcentral. Lineage: Eukaryota; Viridiplantae; Streptophyta; Magnoliopsida; Brassicales; Brassicaceae.